AUGGGGCCCCCGCAGGGCGCCGGGCACCCGAGCACGACUGGCGGCCGGCCGCGCGCCCAGCAGAGGAGCCGGGGGGCCGAGCGCGGCCGCAGCCCAGCGGCGCCGGCGCCGGAGCGAGUGGCCCGGUGGGCUCGACGCGGCAGCGACAGCGACAGCGACAGCGACAGCGUCGGCCCUUGGCCGGCCCCGCGCGGCGCCUCCCGCUCCAGCCCGGCUCCCCCGGGUCUCCCCGGCCCUGCCCCGAGCGUCGGGGGCGCCUGCCGCUCUCUGGCCCGGGCCGACCCCGCUCCUCGCCGCGGCCGGCAGGGCUGGGAGUCGCGAGAAGCAGCGGCCGCCUCCGGGGCGGGAUCCCGGAGAGACACCCCCGGCGAGCUGCGGCUCUCCCCGCGGGGCCCGGAGCGAGCAGGCGGGCGGCGGGAGGCUCGCCCGACCCGGCGGCUGGCGCGGACCUCGACGCCCCCCCCCGCCCCGCGCACACACACGCGCACACACACACACACGCGCACACGCGCGCGCCCCGGGCGCAGGCUCCCAACGCCCCCUCCCCGCGGGGAUCCUUCAGGGCCUCCGGGAGAGACGGACAGAAGGACGGGAAAAGCACACGGAGGGAAACUUGUUCCUCCCAGUCUCCUGUCAGGCAGUUAUUGGCGAGCCCGUGAGGCAGAGGGGAGGGCGGAAGCGAGGGAAGGGCUCCAGGAGGGGCGGGGGAGGCGGGGGGGGGGCGGAGGCGCAGGCGGGGGUGCAGUUGCUGAAAGUCCUGUCUCCCGCUCAUCUUUCCGUUGCUCGCUCCUCUCCUUCGCGCAGACACCCCGGACCUCCCCUGGGCGCCAGCUCCUCGGCUCCAACCGGUCCAGAAACCAGCUUUUUUUUUUUUUUUUUUCCUUUCUGGAAAUUGGCUUUGGUGUGUUUCCCCACCUCCCUUCUCCUCCCCCGUCGGGCCCCCCCCCUUUUUUUUUGAGACAUGGCCCGGGCAGUGGCUCCUGGAAGAGGAACAAGUGUGGGAAAAGAGAGAGGAAACCGGAGCUAAAUGACAGGAUGCAGGCGACUUGA
This 1050-nucleotide long non-coding RNA is filed under the name Canis lupus dingo (dingo). RNAcentral describes it as "lncRNA (ENSCAFG00020009961.1)". The record is from RNAcentral. Lineage: Eukaryota; Metazoa; Chordata; Mammalia; Carnivora; Canidae.